Non-coding RNA from Oryza glumipatula, 204 nucleotides. The record is from Rfam. Lineage: Eukaryota; Viridiplantae; Streptophyta; Magnoliopsida; Poales; Poaceae.
AAAAAGGCAAACCAUGGGUUUCCGUGUACAACUUUGACUGUCCGUCUUAUAUAAAAUUUUUUUAUAAUUCGUAUUUUUAUUGUUGUUAGAUGAUAAAACAUGAUUAAUAUUUUAUGCGUGACUUGUCUUUUUAAUUUUUUUCAUAUUUUUUUCAAAUAAGACGACAGUCAAACGUUGUGCACGGAAAUCAGGGUUUAUCUUUUU